This is a long non-coding RNA of Haliotis rufescens (red abalone), 556 nucleotides long. RefSeq lists it as uncharacterized. NCBI's taxonomy places the organism in Eukaryota, Metazoa, Mollusca, Gastropoda, Lepetellida, Haliotidae. The record is from RefSeq and is a predicted model, not a curated record. The transcript has 3 exons.
CAAGGGGCGGACUGCGGUGGAAUGACCUGGACAGGGUGAUCGACGCUCAGGUGGAGGCAACGCGGCGCAGCCCUGCAGCUGUCGUAAUACACUUGGGAUCCAAUGAUUUGGGCUCCACGAAGACCAGCCAGCUCCUCAUAGAUAUGGAGACAAUAAUCAUGCGGAUCCAGGCACACCUACCACACACCCAUGUCUGUUUUUCCGGUAUCCUACAACGAAGAGUCAUCGGACCCAGCAAUGAUGUGGCUACAACCAGAAAAAACAUAGUAUCAGUGAAAGGGAUGGUGAUUUCUGGAAGGGCUGGGAUGGACACCUAGGUUCCUCGCGUUGGGUGGAGGCUGAGUAAGACCUGGGUACCCACAGACUACCCAGACCCAUGGUUUUUAUACCAGGAGCUGCGGGACACCUGUACCUGAGUGAUACUGCAGGACACCUGUACCUGAGUGAUACUGCGGGACACCUGUACCUGAGUGAUACUGCGGGACACCUGCACCUGUGUGAUACUGUGGGACACCUGUACCUGAGUGAUACUGUGGGACACCUGCACCUGAGUGAU